This 354-nucleotide unclassified non-coding RNA is filed under the name Nocardia cyriacigeorgica. Its description in RNAcentral is "16S-23S ribosomal RNA intergenic spacer". The record is from RNAcentral. Lineage: Bacteria; Bacillati; Actinomycetota; Actinomycetes; Mycobacteriales; Nocardiaceae.
CUAAGGAGCACUUCUCCACGACCCUUCACACAGGUGAAUGUGGUUGUGGCAGAGACCGUUUCGGAAGCAAUCGUCUUCCGGCGGAAGCUCAUGGGUGGAACGCUGACAACCUCUCCCGCGUCAUGGUGCCGGCCGAGUCCGGUGCCGCGGGUGAUAUAUCGACACACUGUUGGGUCCUGAAAGAACAGACGUUCUUUCCAGGCAAAAAAUACGACGAGGCUGAUCUUCAGUCAUACCGGCUUCUUCCCUUUGGGGUUGGGGUGCUGGUGCUGAGUUCGAGGUUGGUCUUGUGUGUUGUUUGAGAACUGCACAGUGGACGCGAGCAUCUUUGUUAGUAAGUGUGUAAGAGCGUAC